Molecule: ribosomal RNA, 464 nt
Filed under: uncultured Klebsiella sp.
Lineage: Bacteria; Pseudomonadati; Pseudomonadota; Gammaproteobacteria; Enterobacterales; Enterobacteriaceae
Description: bacterial SSU rRNA
Rfam family: Bacterial small subunit ribosomal RNA
Source: RNAcentral
CCUACGGGAGGCAGCAGUGGGGAAUAUUGCACAAUGGGCGCAAGCCUGAUGCAGCCAUGCCGCGUGUGUGAAGAAGGCCUUCGGGUUGUAAAGCACUUUCAGCGGGGAGGAAGGCGGUGAGGUUAAUAACCUCAUCGAUUGACGUUACCCGCAGAAGAAGCACCGGCUAACUCCGUGCCAGCAGCCGCGGUAAUACGGAGGGUGCAAGCGUUAAUCGGAAUUACUGGGCGUAAAGCGCACGCAGGCGGUCUGUCAAGUCGGAUGUGAAAUCCCCGGGCUCAACCUGGGAACUGCAUUCGAAACUGGCAGGCUAGAGUCUGGUAGAGGGGGGUAGAAUUCCAGGUGUAGCGGUGAAAUGCGUAGAGAUCUGGAGGAAUACCGGGGGCGAAGGCGGCCCCCGGGACAAAGACUGACGCUCAGGGGCGAAAGCGUGGGGAGCAAACAGGAUGAGAUACCUGGUAGUC